AUUGAACGCUGGCGGCAGGCCUAACACAUGCAAGUCGAACGGUAACAGGAAGACGCUUGCUUCUUUGCUGACGAGUGGCGGACGGGUGAGUAAUGUCUGGGAAACUGCCUGAUGGAGGGGGAUAACUACUGGAAACGGUAGCUAAUACCGCAUAACGUCGCAAGACCAAAGAGGGGGACCUUCGGGCCUCUUGCCAUCGGAUGUGCCCAGAUGGGAUUAGCUAGUAGGUGGGGUAACGGCCCACCUAGGCGACGAUCCCUAGCUGGUCUGAGAGGAUGACCAGCCACACUGGAACUGAGACACGGUCCAGACUCCUACGGGAGGCAGCAGUGGGGAAUAUUGCACAAUGGGCGCAAGCCUGAUGCAGCCAUGCCGCGUGUAUGAAGAAGGCCUUCGGGUUGUAAAGUACUUUCAGCGGGGAGGAAGGGAGUAAAGUUAAUACCUUUGCUCAUUGACGUUACCCGCAGAAGAAGCACCGGCUAACUCCGUG
RNAcentral lists this ribosomal RNA (490 nucleotides) under uncultured bacterium. RNAcentral describes it as "partial 16S ribosomal RNA". It matches the Rfam family "Bacterial small subunit ribosomal RNA", at positions 30 to 507 of the family's 1533-position model. The record is from RNAcentral.